This 1255-nucleotide long non-coding RNA is filed under the name Helianthus annuus (common sunflower). RNAcentral describes it as "hypothetical non coding rna". The record is from RNAcentral. Lineage: Eukaryota; Viridiplantae; Streptophyta; Magnoliopsida; Asterales; Asteraceae.
UUUCUUCUAUUCUUCUCUCUAUACGUUAGUGUUCUAACCAAUAAUCACCGAUGCGAUGUUCUGUCCGAUCGAUUCAAGAACCAUCUAAUAAAUGCCAAAGUGCUGUACUUUGUGAAUUUUGGUAAACGGAAUCCAAAGUGCUAUACUUUGUGAAUUUUGUUAAGGUUCGAAUCUUGUGACUACCGUUAGGUUUGAUUUGGAUUUUACACAAAUACGUAUUCCAUUAUGUUAAACUAUAUGUUUAACUACCAGAAUACUCCCAACUACACACUUACAAUCAAACAAGCUGUUAAAUCAUUAGAAGAUUCAGAACAAUAAAGUAUACGCUUAAUUAUCAGAAGGAAUAGAAUCAAGAAGCCGGCUAAAUCAUGCUUAUACUGUAAUUACAGUAGAUCGGAAUAAGAGAUGGAUACGACACCAAAAGGCUUACAGAAGUGGCUUAAAUUUUAUCAAUUAAAUUAAAUUAAGAAAAGUUAUUUUAUGCAAUCGGGUUUAUCCCAUAUUAAAGCUACCUUUAUAAAACGUGGGUUUAUCCCAUCUGUUUAAAAUAAAUAAAAUCCGGUGUUUAUAAACUCUGAUAUUUUUCCUAACUCACGGUCCUGAUGAAAUUUCCGCUGCAAUGUUUUCAAAAAUAACCACCGGUACCACUUGGCUGCUCGCGGCUCCCGAUUCCGGCCAGGAUGGGGUCGGGGGUCGUGACAAAACCUGAGGACUUGAAGAGGUUUCAAGGCACUCAGGGAAAAUCAGCAUCUGCGGAAAUUGUUUCCGGUGUAUCUUGGGCGAGUGCUAUGGCGUCUUUGAACUAAAUUGUUAUCAAGAUCCCUUCAUGGAUCCACCGCAAGUCCCCACAGGUGCCUGAAGUCGGCAGCAAAGAGAAACCCAAUGGGGUUAAAACUAGUAGUGGGGUGGUAGGGGGAAACAGUGGUGGUGGAGGUGCCAAAGAAAACGGUGGUGGUGGAGGUGUCAAAAGAAAUGUUAAAGAAGGUGGGAACGGUGGUGGCAAUGGCGGUGGUGGCAAUGGCGGUGGCGGCAAUGGUGGUGGGGAAUAGCUGUUAUGCUGGUGGCGGUAGGUGUUGUUAACUUUUGUGAUUAACGUUUUUUUCAUUUCCAGGAAGGUGUUUGCACCAAUUAACUUAGAAAUUUUUGUUUCCAUCAUGAUGAGAUAGUAUUAUAUUAGUUUCUUAUGAUUGAUGAUGAUGAUGUUUGGAUAUGGAAUUUUUAUAUAUGGAAUGGAAUGGAAAGAUAUUAUUGUAUC